RNAcentral lists this ribosomal RNA (206 nucleotides) under uncultured Synergistaceae bacterium. RNAcentral describes it as "partial 16S ribosomal RNA". It matches the Rfam family "Bacterial small subunit ribosomal RNA", at positions 568 to 774 of the family's 1533-position model. The record is from RNAcentral. Lineage: Bacteria; Thermotogati; Synergistota; Synergistia; Synergistales; Synergistaceae.
CGCGCAGGCUGUAGAUCAAGUCAGCUGUGAAAUGUCUGGGCUUAACCCGGGCAUGCGGUUGAAACUGAUGUACUGGAGUGCUGUAGAGGCAAGUGGAAUUCCCAGUGUAGCGGUGAAAUGCGUAGAUAUUGGGAAGAACACCGGUGGCGAAGGCGACUUGCUGGGCAGCAACUGACGCUGAGGCGCGAAAACCAGGGGAGCAAACG